UUUUUUUCUGUUUUUCUGUUUUUUUUUCACUGUUCUAGGAGUUGCUUUAAGCUGAACACUGCAGGAUUUAUAACCAGAUAUUUGCUGCCUUUUCCUUUGUUUUAUUUCUUUAAGUCUUUCCUAACCUUUGAGGGUAACUUUUGGAGCAUUCUGAUUGUGGAUCUUGGCCUGCUGUUGGAAGCCUCCAGGCCUCUUGUAUUUCCAGUUUGAGUUGAAAAGUUUUUGUUUUGUUUGUUUGCUUAAACUGAUGACACAAACUAGAUGCGCGGACUUUGGGUGAGAUUUGCUGUUGCUCUACUUUGUGUGACUUAUUCUCCUUUUUUUACAGAAAUGUGUUCUAACAGUUCACACUUUGUUACUGUUCUUUGCAAAACUUUUCAGGAGCCAAAAAAAGUCAAACAAUCCAGAGAAAACCUUCCCUUCUCCCCUUUCUGAUGGCGAGAGUGAGAACUUAUGAAAAGUCCUUGAGAAUGUUCCUUCCUAAACUUUUCCCCUCAGUAAUGCAAGCGGGUAAAAUGGUAAAUGCAGCAGUUUGGUGACAUCCAAACCCGACCUGUUGUCAGAGUAAUAAAACUGGUAGGUGGCAGCAGCAGUAGAAGAAACUCAUGUGACUGACCUGGGAAACCUCCGGUACUGUGAAAAAUGGAUUGCAAAAUCUUAACUGAAGUAAGGGGGACGGAGGAGAGAGGCAGAGUCCCUGAACUGUCCCUUUGAAUGAUGUCCUGUUUAUGGUGGAAGCAGUGAUACUACUGACCUCCCUUGAUGCUUAGUUUAUCUGUGUCAUAAAAUGCUUUAAUUUUGGGAAGAAAGGAACUGGAGAGGUAUGGAGGUAUGGAGGAAAACAGUGCUACAUGGACUAAUCAGGAAGGUGCUGUGAAGCAAAGAGAGAAGACAAAGCAGUAGCUGUGUAUGCAGGAAUGUAAUGCUUGUGAAAGAUGCUGGACCAACAAUUGCAGAGAUUGAACUCCUCUACCCACAGGAAAGGUUUUUCUACACCACAGGAGGUCUUCUCUUGUACAGGGACACUUAUCUCUUGAUACCACCUCCUUCACAAUGAAGAAAGGAUGGACCAGCAGCAAUGUGGAAUGGGGUGAUGUCCACACUUGGGGUUAACAGUCAUAAUAAACACUGUGCUGCUAACAUGGAGAAAUGAAUAAAACAAUUUAAUUC
Molecule: long non-coding RNA, 1170 nt
Filed under: Strigops habroptila (Kakapo)
Lineage: Eukaryota; Metazoa; Chordata; Aves; Psittaciformes; Psittacidae
Description: lncRNA (ENSSHBG00005018935.1)
Source: RNAcentral